RNAcentral lists this unclassified non-coding RNA (432 nucleotides) under soil metagenome. Its description in RNAcentral is "partial contains 5.8S ribosomal RNA, internal transcribed spacer 2, and large subunit ribosomal RNA". The stretch from base 1 to 120 matches the Rfam family "5.8S ribosomal RNA", at positions 35 to 154 of the family's 154-position model. The record is from RNAcentral.
GAUGAAGAACGCAGCGAAAUGCGAUACGUAAUGUGAAUUGCAGAAUUCAGUGAAUCAUCGAAUCUUUGAACGCAUAUUGCGCUCUCUGGUAUUCCGGAGAGCAUGCUUGUUUGAGUAUCAGUAAACACCUCAACUUCCAUAUCUUUUUUGAAAUGGGAGUUGGACUUGAGUGAUCCCAACGCUUUUCCUCACCGAAAAGUGGCGGGUUACUUGAAAUGCAGGUGCAGCUGGACUUUUCUCUGAGCUAUACGCAUAUCUAUUUAGUCUGCCUAAAAAACAGAUUAUUACCUUUGCUGCAGCUAACAUAAAGGAGAUUAGUUCUUGUGCUGACUGAUGCAGGAUUCACAAAGACAGGCUUCGGCCGACUUUGUAAACUCGAUCUCAAAUCAAGUAAGACUACCCGCUGAACUUAAGCAUAUCAUAAGCGGAGGA